Molecule: ribosomal RNA, 397 nt
Filed under: uncultured bacterium
Lineage: Bacteria
Description: bacterial SSU rRNA
Rfam family: Bacterial small subunit ribosomal RNA
Source: RNAcentral
AAUCAACGCUGGCGGCGUGCCUCAGACAUGCAAGUCGAACGAGAAAGUUCCCUUCGGGGAAUGAGUAAAGUGGCGCACGGGUGAGUAACACGUAGGUAAUCUACCUUCGGGUGGGGAAUAACCCAGGGAAACUCGGGCUAACACCGCAUAAUGCAGCGGCACCACAUGGUGACAGUUGUUAAAGCGGGGGAUUUUAGGACCUCGCGCCUGAAGAGGAGCCUGCGGCGGAUUAGCAGUUGGUAGGGUAACGGCUUACCAAGGCGACGAUCCGUAACCGGCCUGAGAGGGCGGUCGGUCACACUGACACUGACAUACGGGUCAGACUCCUACGGGAGGCAGCAGUCGGGAAUUUUGGGCAAUGGGCGAAAGCCUGACCCAGCAACGCCGCGUGAGGGAU